Molecule: transfer RNA, 60 nt
Filed under: Batracomorphus chlorophana
Lineage: Eukaryota; Metazoa; Arthropoda; Insecta; Hemiptera; Cicadellidae
Description: tRNA-Glu
Source: RNAcentral
AUUCAAAUAGUUUAUUAAAAACAUUUUAUUUUCAAUAAAAAGAAAGAAAACUUAUGAAUA